RNAcentral lists this microRNA precursor (103 nucleotides) under Marmota monax (woodchuck). Lineage: Eukaryota; Metazoa; Chordata; Mammalia; Rodentia; Sciuridae. The record is from RNAcentral.
AGUGGGAUAACUGGGUCAAAUGAUGGUUUUGUUCCAAGUUUUCUGAGGAUUCUCCAUACUGCUUUCCAGAGUGGUUGUACCAAUUUGCAGUCCCACAAGCAAU